GAUAAACGCUGGCGGCGUGCAUAACACAUGCAAGUCGAACGAUGAAGAUUAAAAGAUUUCUUCGGAAUGAACUUAAUUGGAUUAGUGGCGGACGGGUGAGUAACGCGUGAGUAACCUGCCUUGUACAAGGGGAUAGCCGUUGGAAACGACGAAUAAUACCCUAUGACAUCAAAUAAUCGCAUGAUAAUUUGUUCAAAGAUGUAUCGGUAUAAGGUGGACUCCCGUCUGAUUAGCUAGUUGGUAGAGUAAAAGCCUACCAAGGCAACGAUCAGUAGCCGGCAUGGGGGCGUGUUCGAGACCAUUAGGACUGAGACACGGCCCAAACUCCUACGAAAGGCAGCAGGGGUGACGUUGGAACAAUGCGGGAAUCCUGAAGGCAGCGACGCCGCGUGAUUUAGAAGGCAUGCAGGUUGUAAAAAGCUUUUAUAUGGGAAGAAAAUGACGGUACCAUACGAGAAAGGACCGGCUAAUUACGUG
Molecule: ribosomal RNA, 477 nt
Filed under: uncultured bacterium
Lineage: Bacteria
Description: partial 16S ribosomal RNA
Rfam family: Bacterial small subunit ribosomal RNA
Source: RNAcentral